Musa acuminata AAA Group (dessert banana) is the source of this 580-nucleotide long non-coding RNA. RefSeq lists it as uncharacterized. The transcript has 2 exons. The record is from RefSeq and is a predicted model, not a curated record. NCBI's taxonomy places the organism in Eukaryota, Viridiplantae, Streptophyta, Magnoliopsida, Zingiberales, Musaceae.
UUUAAACACCUCAACUCCCUAUAACUCUUCUCAAAACUGACUUUGAGCUUUGGAGAGAUCGAGCCCAGAAAUCAUCUCCCGGCCUAUGUAUAGGAACUUAGUGACGAAACAGCAAACCCGCGGGAGAGAAAAAGAAACCAUGCGCACUACGAAUCAGACCAAGCCGUUCUGAUCGGCCACGGCAUAAAGUUUCUAGGGUAGUCGGGUUGGUUGUAUCUGGAUCCCCGCUCCAUUCUCCGUCUUUGGUGGGCUUCCUUCGCGGCAUCUCAAGAUGCCCGCGCUUGCUUUGGUCUGCUGUUGUGAUCUUGCCUUACUCCAUUUCUAGACCAGUUAUUGUUCUUGUUCUGACGGGGAAGAUCACUGGGGUUCUGAUUUGUUGUUGAUUUUAAGAUCUUUGUAUGGCAGAAUGAUUGUGGUAUGGGGUUGUGUUUGAUGUCAGCCAUACCUCGGUGGAGGUCCUCUCUUGGACCAUCUGUUCUUGAUGAUGCAGGGUUGGAUUCCAGUUGACGGCGAGUGCUUACAAACCCAAUCCUGAAGAGAAGAUAUAUGAAAUGCUUAACUAUGAUUAAUCUUGCUUUUU